UUAUGACCUUGGGUUCACAUUUGCUACAAUGGACAGAACAAAGGGCAGUGAAACCGCGAGGUUAAGCCAAUCCCACAAAUCUGUUCUCAGUUCGGAUCGCAGUCUGCAACUCGACUGCGUGAAGCUGGAAUCGCUAGUAAUCGCGGAUCAGCAUGCCGCGGUGAAUACGUUCCCGGGCCUUGUACACACCGCCCGUCACACCACGAGAGUUUGUAACACCCGAAGUCGGUGAGGUAACCUUUUAGGAGCCAGCCGCCGAAGGUGGGACAGAUG
RNAcentral lists this ribosomal RNA (273 nucleotides) under Bacillus subtilis subsp. subtilis. RNAcentral describes it as "partial 16S ribosomal RNA". It matches the Rfam family "Bacterial small subunit ribosomal RNA", at positions 1202 to 1473 of the family's 1533-position model. Lineage: Bacteria; Bacillati; Bacillota; Bacilli; Caryophanales; Bacillaceae. The record is from RNAcentral.